Long non-coding RNA from Sinocyclocheilus anshuiensis, 876 nucleotides. NCBI's taxonomy places the organism in Eukaryota, Metazoa, Chordata, Actinopteri, Cypriniformes, Cyprinidae. The record is from Ensembl.
GUGGAGCUGGUGUUAGUGGUAUUGUGGAAUAGUAUCUUUCUGUAAACUGAAAUGUAGAUGUGAAAGCAUCACUUUUCUGAUACCUCAGUCAUUUUUUCACUGCUUAGGUCCACCUUUUAUUUUCUCCAGUCAUUCCACAAAUAAUUCUUCUCUUUUUCCUGUGUGUGUGUGUAUGUGAGCAGGUCAGGCCAAAACCUCCAGUGUCUUUGUCUCCAGCUGCUGGUCAGGUUUCUGUGCACACCUUACAGUCACCGGUGUUACUGAGCACUGCCCUUCCUUCCUCUGGUCACGUCCAGCAGAUGCGAAUCCUCAAUGGCCUGCCCUGCCCCAACAGCUCUAACAACACAAGCAUCCUGAUCUCCCCAUCUACACACACGCUACUAUCUGCGCAGACACACACACAGCAGUUACCUCACAACAGCCCAAGCUCUGACAACACGAUACGCGCAGUGGAAUAUGGGACAGAGCCAAAGACUUCAUUGCUCAUCUCUCCAGACACGCCUACACACACUUCACCUCCACUGUCUUUAGAUGUGCCGUCUUCACCUGCCCCCACCAACACACACACUCCUUCCUCCAAACAUCAGGAGAGCCCUCUGGUAAAAUACACUUAUGUUUACAUCACAGUUUAUAAUGACGAUAAUGAUAAGUAUGGUGAUGUAAAUUAUGAUGAUGAUAAUGGCACUCAUUCUUUCCACAGAAACUGGCCUUCAUGUUGUCUCUGGGACUGGUCACGCGCGACUAUUUAGAAGGUCAGGAGAAAGAAAUGAGUCUGUGUGUGGGUUUGUUUGUGUGCAUGCAUGUGUAUUGACCUUUCAUGCUUUGUUUGUGUAGAGAUUCAAAGCAGGCGUCAGGAGCGCAAAAGACGAACAACAG